Molecule: transfer RNA, 83 nt
Filed under: Ignavibacteria bacterium
Lineage: Bacteria; Pseudomonadati; Ignavibacteriota; Ignavibacteria
Description: tRNA-Leu
Rfam family: tRNA
About the family: Transfer RNA (tRNA) molecules are approximately 80 nucleotides in length. Their secondary structure includes four short double-helical elements and three loops (D, anti-codon, and T loops).
Source: RNAcentral
GCGGGAAUGGCGAAAUUGGCAGACGCACCAUCUUGAGGGGGUGGCGCCUUAUGGGCGUGGGGGUUCAAGUCCCCCUUUCCGCA